CACAAACUUCUCGGUUUACUCAUGUGGCAGGCGAUUAUUCUGGUAGGGUCAGAGAGUCCCAGGAGACUAAGGGGGGUGUCUGUAUCCCCAUCAUCUUGAGGACAGAGAGGAGAUCCCAGGCAUCUGAUCCCCAGGUCCUGGAUAGAGUAAGUAAGUUAGGGGUAAGUGCGGGAGCUGAGAACAGACAGAGGACUGAAGACAAUGUUCAAAGUGAACGAGGCCCCAGCUUGAUGUGAUUUUUCCCUAACAGGUCGUGUCACGUGUAUCACAACUUAAGGUAAGCUUUGUCCUUGUUCCUCCCCAGAGCUUAACCUCAGGACUGAGGCUUGCCAGGUUAUGUGGGCUGGGCUCGUGGCUCUCUGGUACUGCCCUGGACCAUUGCAGCCACCGUGGGACCAGGCAAAGGGAGUGUGUCUGUAGCUAGGCUCCCUUCUCUCCCCAGGACAGUAUUAAUGAGAACCUGCUGGAUGCCCUCGAUCUUCUUCAUGAGAGCAACAGCCCAGACUCCACUUCUCUCCCUCCUCGGGUGAAGCUGGAGUUACGUCAAAGAAUCCAGGGUGGCUCUGGCUCCUUCUCUGAAGAUGAGGAUCUUGAGAGCCUGACGUCCCAGAAUGGUGGACAUAAGAUGAAAAAUGCCUCCUUGGAGACUGUUAAAUCCAAAAUGAAACUGGAAUUCCAGACAUUCCUUGAUGAUAUCACAGUUUCGUCCUCAGAAAAUGGAGAUGACCUGUCAAGUGAAGACCAACCUAAGUUUUGGGAUGAGAUGCUGAAAUGUUUCCAGGAGAAGCUGCAGUGGAUGAAGAAGAAGUAGC
This 812-nucleotide long non-coding RNA is filed under the name Castor canadensis (American beaver). RNAcentral's name for it is "lncRNA (ENSCCNG00000017988.1)". Lineage: Eukaryota; Metazoa; Chordata; Mammalia; Rodentia; Castoridae. The record is from RNAcentral.